RNAcentral lists this long non-coding RNA (318 nucleotides) under Serinus canaria (Common canary). RNAcentral describes it as "lncRNA (ENSSCAG00000003447.1)". Lineage: Eukaryota; Metazoa; Chordata; Aves; Passeriformes; Fringillidae. The record is from RNAcentral.
CAGUGUCAGAUACAAGAAGCAGAUGGAGACACAGGAGAUAUGUCACAGAGGUUGUUUGAGUUUUCCAGAAAUGUCUGAGCUCCUGCAAACCAGAGAUUACCAACUUCAUCAACAAGUCACUUGUGGAUGACCAUUAGAUGACAGAAAUCACCGUCUCCAGAAGAAGCUGCAGAUUCUGAGAAGUAAUUAUUUCAAUAUCAAUUGAUUUGAAGGAACAGUCCCAAGUCUGAAUUAAGCAGCUUAUGGAAGUUUGUCUUGUUCCUGGUUAAACAUUCCUGCUAUGCAGCUGGGUAAGCUGCUUGCAGUAAUAAAAUCCAG